GACAGAGGGUGCGAGCGUUGUUCGGAAUCAUUGGGCGUAAAGGGUGCGUAGGCGGCUUGGCAAGUUGGAUGUGAAAGCCCCGGGCUUAACCCGGGAAGUGCAUCCAAAACUGCUUUGCUUGAGUCCUGGAGAGGGUGGUGGAAUUCCCAGUGUAGAGGUGAAAUUCGUAGAUAUUGGGAGGAACACCCGUGGCGAAGGCGGCCACCUGGACAGAGACUGACGCUGAGGCACGAAAGCGUGGGGAGCAAACAGG
RNAcentral lists this ribosomal RNA (253 nucleotides) under uncultured bacterium. Its description in RNAcentral is "partial 16S ribosomal RNA". It matches the Rfam family "Bacterial small subunit ribosomal RNA", at positions 524 to 776 of the family's 1533-position model. The record is from RNAcentral.